UUUUCCCUGCACUGUUGGUGAUCUUCAGUGUGUGUUGAGCCAACUCCCAAAAAAAGGGUAACUCCACUGUUACAAGAAGGAAAAUCGCUUCGCGAAUUUCCCGAAAGUAUUAUGAGGCUGCCCACCUAUUAUAUAGGUUUAACUUUCCUGGAGACACGGCAGUGUGGGGAAGAU
Molecule: non-coding RNA, 174 nt
Filed under: Desulfopila sp. IMCC35006
Lineage: Bacteria; Pseudomonadati; Thermodesulfobacteriota; Desulfobulbia; Desulfobulbales; Desulfocapsaceae
Description: 6S / SsrS RNA
Rfam family: 6S / SsrS RNA
About the family: E. coli 6S RNA was the first non coding RNA to be sequenced, but its function was unknown until recently. It consists of 184 nucleotides that fold into an extended hairpin structure with a large single-stranded internal bulge. The 6S RNA specifically associates with RNA polymerase holoenzyme containing the sigma70 specificity factor.
Source: Rfam by way of RNAcentral